UGAGGUAGGAGGUUGUAUAGUUGAAGAGGACAACCCAGGAGAUCACUAUACGGCCUCCUAGCUUUCC
This 67-nucleotide microRNA precursor is filed under the name Echinops telfairi (small Madagascar hedgehog). Its description in RNAcentral is "Ete-Let-7-P1b_pre stem-loop". The record is from RNAcentral. Lineage: Eukaryota; Metazoa; Chordata; Mammalia; Afrosoricida; Tenrecidae.